GCCCGGGUGGCGGAAUGGCAGACGCAGGGGACUUAAAAUCCUCGGUUGCGGAAGCAACAUGCGAGUUCGACUCUCGCCCCGGGCACCA
This 88-nucleotide transfer RNA is filed under the name Acidobacteriota bacterium. RNAcentral's name for it is "tRNA-Leu". It matches the Rfam family "tRNA". Rfam says of the family: Transfer RNA (tRNA) molecules are approximately 80 nucleotides in length. Their secondary structure includes four short double-helical elements and three loops (D, anti-codon, and T loops). Further hydrogen bonds mediate the characteristic L-shaped molecular structure. tRNAs have two regions of fundamental functional importance: the anti-codon, which is responsible for specific mRNA codon recognition, and the 3' end, to which the tRNAs corresponding amino acid is attached (by aminoacyl-tRNA synthetases). tRNAs cope with the degeneracy of the genetic code in two manners: having more than one tRNA (with a specific anti-codon) for a particular amino acid; and 'wobble' base-pairing, i.e. permitting non-standard base-pairing at the 3rd anti-codon position. RNAcentral also lists the same sequence under 1 other name. The record is from RNAcentral. Lineage: Bacteria; Pseudomonadati; Acidobacteriota.